Small nuclear RNA from Otolemur garnettii (small-eared galago), 110 nucleotides. Lineage: Eukaryota; Metazoa; Chordata; Mammalia; Primates; Galagidae. The record is from Ensembl.
GUGCUCACUUGGACAGUGUGCAUACUAAAACUGGAACAAUACAGAGAAGAUGAUUAGCAUGGUCCAUGGGCAUGGAUGACAUGCAAAUCUGUAAAGUGUUCCUUAUUUUU